AAAUUAGAAAUAAGUAAAAUAAAUAAGAGGCUCUCUUAUUUAGUAAGUUGAACAGUGUAUUAGAGACUGUGAACGUGUAUCGGUUGGAAGCUCGAUGUAUCGGUUGGAAGCUCGAUUUUAAGCUCUGUGUAUCGGUUGGAAGCUCGAUUUAAUAUAUAUAUAUAUAUAUUUUUUUUUUUCACACCGUAGUUCUUUUUUCUUCCCCUCUCUCUCGCGAAUCACUCUGAUUUUGCAAUUGGAAAAGAGCCAUCUCACAACCGAUUGGAAACGGGAGGAGAUUGAAUCAAUUGGAAUCAGAGGGCGAUUAUGAUCGUCUACACUUAUCAACCACUCCUUUCCUUGAGAACAAUAUGGAGUUUUGAUUAAAUGCAUGGAUGAUUUAUCUAUGGAACAGCAAAAGUGGUUUGUGGAUCACCCGGAGUUUAUAUCGAAUCCAUUUUACGUUGGUGGAGAUUCAUUUUCUGGGUUUAUUGUUCCAGAGGUUGUUCAACAGAUUUCUCUUGAUCUAUCAACAUCAGCAAAAUUACAAGCAGAAAAGCAUGUCCUGCAAUGGGCCAUGACUAGCUGGACAGGAAGCUGCUGCAGAAUAUGGUUUUGGGAAGCUUUGGAAAGUGUAUAGAGCUGGGAUUGAAGAUUGGCUUGUUGGUCUGUUGCAGCCUGUGAUUGAUGACUUGAAGAAGAAGCCUGUUUAUGUCCAACUAGUUGCAGUACAUGUGUACUUGGUAGUUGAUCAACUGUUGGGAUUGCUCUUACUUGGUUUCAGUUGGAUAUUGUUUUCCACUCACUGAAGGAUCUCAUGAGAUAUAUUUCACUUCAUGUUGUUAUUGCUCUCGUUGAAAUUUGGUAUGAUCCCUAUAGCUGUCCCAGUUGGUGUCCGGGAUUUUGAGAUUGAUGGGUGAGCUUUGGGUCAAACUAAGAUUGAUACCAACACAACCUUGGGUGGGAGCUGUAUCAUGUUCGUUUGUACCACUUCCAAAGGUCACACUUCAACUUGCAGCAUUCAUAUUAUUUCAUAUACAAACAACCUCUUAUAGUAAUUUUUACAACUGUUGGCUAUAAACUGGGAUUGCUGAUUAAUAAAGAGACUUUUGUUCUU
This is a non-coding RNA of Camelina sativa (false flax), 1096 nucleotides long. Lineage: Eukaryota; Viridiplantae; Streptophyta; Magnoliopsida; Brassicales; Brassicaceae. The record is from RefSeq and is a predicted model, not a curated record.